Molecule: transfer RNA, 69 nt
Filed under: Hynobius formosanus (Formosan salamander)
Lineage: Eukaryota; Metazoa; Chordata; Amphibia; Caudata; Hynobiidae
Description: tRNA-Val
Rfam family: tRNA
About the family: Transfer RNA (tRNA) molecules are approximately 80 nucleotides in length. Their secondary structure includes four short double-helical elements and three loops (D, anti-codon, and T loops). Further hydrogen bonds mediate the characteristic L-shaped molecular structure. tRNAs have two regions of fundamental functional importance: the anti-codon, which is responsible for specific mRNA codon recognition, and the 3' end, to which the tRNAs corresponding amino acid is attached (by aminoacyl-tRNA synthetases). tRNAs cope with the degeneracy of the genetic code in two manners: having more than one tRNA (with a specific anti-codon) for a particular amino acid; and 'wobble' base-pairing, i.e. permitting non-standard base-pairing at the 3rd anti-codon position.
Source: RNAcentral
CAAAAUAUAGCUUAAUUAUAGCAUCUUGCUUACACCAAGAAAAUACUUGUUAAACUCAAGUUAUUUUGA